UACGUAGGGUGCAAGCGUUAAUCGGAAUUACUGGGCGUAAAGCGUGCGCAGGCGGUUGUGUAAGGCAGGUGUGAAAUCCCCGGGCUCAACCUGGGAACUGCAUUUGUGACUGCACAGCUGGAGUGCGGCAGAGGGGGAUGGAAUUCCGCGUGUAGCAGUGAAAUGCGUAGAUAUGCGGAGGAACACCGAUGGCGAAGGCAAUCCCCUGGGCCUGCACUGACGCUCAUGCCCGAAAGCGUGGGGAGCAAACAGG
This 253-nucleotide ribosomal RNA is filed under the name uncultured bacterium. Its description in RNAcentral is "partial 16S ribosomal RNA". It matches the Rfam family "Bacterial small subunit ribosomal RNA", at positions 524 to 776 of the family's 1533-position model. The record is from RNAcentral.